RNAcentral lists this ribosomal RNA (322 nucleotides) under uncultured bacterium. RNAcentral's name for it is "bacterial SSU rRNA". It matches the Rfam family "Bacterial small subunit ribosomal RNA", at positions 28 to 334 of the family's 1533-position model. The record is from RNAcentral.
GACGAACGCUGGCGGCGUGCCUAAUACAUGCAAGUCGAGCGGACGUUUUCUUGGUGCUUGCACCGAGAUAACGUUAGCGGCGGACGGGUGAGUAACACGUGGGUAACCUGCCCUACAGACUGGGAUAACUUCGGGAAACCGGAGCUAAUACCGGAUAAUACUUUUGAACUCAUGUUCGGGAGUUGAAAGAUGGUUUCGGCUAUCACUGUAGGAUGGACCCGCGGCGCAUUAGCUAGUUGGUGAGGUAACGGCUCACCAAGGCGACGAUGCGUAGCCGACCUGAGAGGGUGAUCGGCCACACUGGGACUGAGACACGGCCCAG